UACGAAGGGGGCUAGCGUUGCUCGGAAUCACUGGGCGUAAAGGGCGCGUAGGUGGUUCUGUAUGUCUACCGUGAAAGCGUACGGCUCAACCGUAUUUUGUCGGUGGAAACUGCAGGACUUGAGGCUGGGAGGGGCUGGUGGAAUUCCCUGUGUAGCGGUGAAAUGCGUAGAGAUGGGGGAGAACACUUGUGGCGAAGGCGGCCAGCUAGACCAGUUCUGACACUGAGGCGCGACAGCGUGGGGAGCAAACAGG
Molecule: ribosomal RNA, 253 nt
Filed under: uncultured bacterium
Lineage: Bacteria
Description: partial 16S ribosomal RNA
Rfam family: Bacterial small subunit ribosomal RNA
Source: RNAcentral